CCGCUCCUGCUCCAGCGGCACAAUGUGAUCCACCACAAGGAGGGACGCCAAUAAGGAGGUAGAGGCAGGAGGAUCAGAAGUUCAAGAUCAUCUUUGACUACAUAGCAAGUUUGAGGCCAGCCUGGGAUGUGAGAUCUUGUCUCAGAAACAAACAAAUGAAGCAUGGUGACACCUGUCUGGAGACUAGCAAGAGUCAAGAAGCAAUGAAACAGACAAAAGCCCCAGCAUGGAUGAAGACUGCAGCUGCCGGUGGGACACACAGGUUGCUGGUUUCCACCUAGCACCUGGAAGGUGUCAGCGUAUGUCCUUUGAUGGUACUUUUUUCUUUCAAGUACAGCCUAGUUGGUAAGUCUGCCACCCUGAUGGCUUAGAAAUGCCCAUGGCGGCUUGUCCAGCUGAUGUCUCCAGCCUGGCUUUCCCAGCGCCCAUCACGAGUGACAACACAUGCCUCUUAAUCAGAGCAUCAAGUGAUUCUGUCAACAUCACUGCACUUGUUGUUUUACUGCAUAUCACCCCUUUGAGGCCCACUUGGAGCUUCCUGCCAGUCCUUGGCUCUUUUCCAAAGGCCUGACUAAUUUCCUGUGCUGAAGGCCCAGCCUCCUUAUCAGGGGAGCCACAAGUUUAGGGAGUCGGAGCCAGUUUCAGAGUGUCCCUUCCAGGCGCUUUGCAGCCACAGCUUGCUCAGUACUCUAAGAAGAGGGCUGCGGGAUGAUAGGAGACCCAAAUCCAGGCCUCAAUUCUGCCUUUAUCCCCAGUAGAUGUGUCUUUGUAAAAGCCAGUAACAUUUCAGUGUCUGUAGAACAGCAAUUGCAAACAGGAGGCCAAGGAAGGAGUCCUGGCCUUGGAGCGGGCUGAAGUUACAUCCGAAUCUGAACUCUGCUGCCCCUGGCUUGCAACCUGGCCCUCGAGGAGGAGGCAUCUCUAGUACAGGAAGGAAAAUGUCAAGGAAGCAGCUGGGAUGCCAGCAGCACCAUUUACAGAACUGUACUGAGGACCCACAUACCAAGCACAAGGAAAAUCUGCGCUGUGGUUUCCAUGCUUCAAAGAUGCGAGUCUGUGACAUACAAGUACCAUCAUUAAGGCUGCGUGAAAACCCACAGGUCAUCCUUCUAGCACAGCAAAAACCUCAGAACCACAAAGGGCCACAAAUUGCCAUUUCGUGCAAAUGCGCCCUCUGUGACAGCCUUGGCUCGCUAGCUUCCUGGGGGCACCAGAUCACCUGCCAAUUAUCUAGAGC
RNAcentral lists this long non-coding RNA (1237 nucleotides) under Cricetulus griseus (Chinese hamster). RNAcentral's name for it is "lncRNA (ENSCGRG00015043258.1)". The record is from RNAcentral. Lineage: Eukaryota; Metazoa; Chordata; Mammalia; Rodentia; Cricetidae.